Molecule: long non-coding RNA, 345 nt
Filed under: Brassica napus (rape)
Lineage: Eukaryota; Viridiplantae; Streptophyta; Magnoliopsida; Brassicales; Brassicaceae
Description: long non-coding RNA (BNAP_LNC003785)
Source: RNAcentral
GGCUGGGUCACAGCUAGAUUGCAUCGAAAUAUCAAUAGUAUAGAAAAUAGGAAUCGUGUUCUUUAUCUACUCGUUUGACUUAUUUUGUAUAUUGUAAGUUAGUUUUAUAUCAUGAUACAUAGAUGCGAAUGUUAUACAGUUCUCAAUACAAAUAAGUAUUUGGGUAAAAGUUAGAGAAACAUUCCCAUUUAUAUCAUGUUACAUAAAAGAAAUAUAUAUUAAGAAAUUACAAUGAGUUAUAAUUCAACCGUAAGAAUAGUGCGUUAAAAGUGUUAUAUUAUUAUUAUAACCAAAAAAAAAUUGUGUUAUUAAAUUAAAAACAAAAAAAUUGUCUUCAAGCUUAAG